CCUANGGGUGGCAGCAGUAAGGAAUAUUGGACAAUGGGCGCAAGCCUGAUCCAGCCAUGCCGCGUGAAGGAUGAAGGCCCUAUGGGUCGUAAACUUCUUUUAUACGGGAAAAAACCCCUCGAUGCGUCGAGGGUUGAUGGUACUGUAAGAAUAAGGGUCGGCUAACUUCGUGCCAGCAGCCGCGGUAAUACGAAGGACCCAAGCGUUAUCCGGAUUUAUUGGGUUUAAAGGGUGCGUAGGCGGAUUAAUAAGUCAGUGGUGAAAGCCUCCCGCUUAACGGGAGAAUUGCCAUUGAUACUGUUAGUCUUGAGUAUGGUUGAGGUGGGCGGAAUGUGUCAUGUAGCGGUGAAAUGCUUAGAUAUGACACAGAACACCAAUUGCGAAGGCAGCUCGCUAAACCAUAACUGACGCUGAGGCGCGAAAGCGUGGGGAGCAAACAGGAUUAGAUACCCUGNUANUC
RNAcentral lists this ribosomal RNA (460 nucleotides) under uncultured bacterium. RNAcentral describes it as "bacterial SSU rRNA". It matches the Rfam family "Bacterial small subunit ribosomal RNA", at positions 338 to 795 of the family's 1533-position model. The record is from RNAcentral.